RNAcentral lists this unclassified non-coding RNA (288 nucleotides) under rhizosphere metagenome. RNAcentral describes it as "partial ribosomal RNA internal transcribed spacer region". The record is from RNAcentral.
GUAGGUGAACCUGCGGUUGGAUCAUUAACAAAAAAAUUGGAAGGCUUUUUUGGAUACUCUCCAGAAAAGCCUUUUAAAACACCAAUUGUGAACUUGUAUUAUUGUUUCUUUUCUGUGGUUAUUCUCAUAUAUGACUGGUUCACGCUAGUUUUUGUGGGGAUGCCCAGAAAAAACUUUUUUAAACUUAAAAGAUUAUACCAUUUUGACCAUUAAAUAAAAGUUUGAAAUUUUUUUUAAACAUUAAAUAAAUUAAAAAAACAACUUUUGGCAACGGAUCUCUAGGCUCUU